Molecule: ribosomal RNA, 407 nt
Filed under: uncultured bacterium
Lineage: Bacteria
Description: partial 16S ribosomal RNA
Rfam family: Bacterial small subunit ribosomal RNA
Source: RNAcentral
AUUGAACGCUGGCGGCAGGCCUAACACAUGCAAGUCGAGCGGAGCGGCGGACGGGUGAGUAAUGCCUAGGAAUCUGCCUGGUAGUGGGGGAUAACGUCCGGAAACGGGCGCUAAUACCGCAUACUAUCAGAUGAGCCUAGGUCGGAUUGGCUAGUUGGGGGGGAAAAGGCCUACCAGGGCGACGAUACGGAACUGGUCUGAGGGGAUGAUCAGUCACACGGGAACUGGGACACGGUCCAGACUCCUACGGGAGGCAGCAGGGGGGAAUAUUGGACAAGGGGCGAAAGCCUGAUCCAGCAAUGCCGGGUGGGGGAAGAAGGUCUUCGGAUUGUAAAGCACUUUAAGCGGGGCGGCGUUACCAACAGAAUAAGCACCGGCUAACUUCGUGCCAGCAGCCGCGGUAAUUC